AAUUACCCAAUCCUGACACAGGGAGGUAGUGACAAGAAAUAACAAUACAGGGCAAUUGUCUUGUAAUUGGAAUGAUGGUGACCUAAACCCUCACCAGAGUAACAAUUGGAGGGCAAGUCUGGUGCCAGCAGCCGCGGUAAUUCCAGCUCCAAUAGCGUAUAUUAAACUUGUUGCAGUUAAAAAGCUCGUAGUUGAAUUUUUGCGUGGUGUUAAUAUUGACUAAUGUCGAGAUUGCACUUCGCUUUUGGGAUUUAUCCCUUUUUACUUUGAGAAAAUUAGAGUGUUUCAAGCAGACUUUUGUCUUGAAUACUUCAGCAUGGAAUAAUAGAGUAGGACUUUGGUUCUAUUUUGUUGGUUUGUGAACCUUAGUAAUGGUUAAUAGGAACGGUUGGGGGCAUUCGUAUUUAAAA
Molecule: ribosomal RNA, 410 nt
Filed under: Babesia divergens
Lineage: Eukaryota; Apicomplexa; Aconoidasida; Piroplasmida; Babesiidae
Description: SSU rRNA
Rfam family: Eukaryotic small subunit ribosomal RNA
Source: RNAcentral